This 923-nucleotide ribosomal RNA is filed under the name uncultured Ascomycota. RNAcentral describes it as "eukaryotic LSU rRNA". The stretch from base 276 to 923 matches the Rfam family "Eukaryotic large subunit ribosomal RNA", at positions 1 to 663 of the family's 3401-position model. Lineage: Eukaryota; Fungi; Ascomycota. The record is from RNAcentral.
AUCGAUGAAGAACGCAGCGAAAUGCGAUAAGUAAUGUGAAUUGCAGAAUUCAGUGAAUCAUCGAAUCUUUGAACGCACAUUGCGCCCGGUGGUAUUCCGCCGGGCAUGCCUGUUCGAGCGUCAGUACAACACUCAAGCUCAGCUUGGUCUUGAGCCCAACGGGAAACCGCGGGCUUUAAAAUCAGUGGCGGCGCCAUCUGGCUCUAAGCGUAGUAAUACUCCUCGCUCUUGAGUUCCAGGUGGAUGCUGGCCAGCAACCCCCAACUUUCUAAGUUUGACCUCGGAUCAGGUAGGGAUACCCGCUGAACUUAAGCAUAUCAAUAAGCGGAGGAAAAGAAACCAACAGGGAUUGCCUCAGUAACGGCGAGUGAAGCGGCAACAGCUCAAAUUUGAAAUCUGGCUCUUUCAGGGUCCGAGUUGUAAUUUGUAGAAGAUGCUUCGGGUGUGGCUCCGGUCUAAGUUCCUUGGAACAGGACGUCAUAGAGGGUGAGAAUCCCGUAUGUGACUGGUUGCCUUCGCUCAUGUGAAGCUCUUUCGACGAGUCGAGUUGUUUGGGAAUGCAGCUCAAAAUGGGUGGUAUAUUUCAUCUAAAGCUAAAUAUUGGCCAGAGACCGAUAGCGCACAAGUAGAGUGAUCGAAAGAUGAAAAGCACUUUGGAAAGAGAGUUAAACAGUACGUGAAAUUGUUGAAAGGGAAGCGCUUGCAACCAGACUUGCGCGUAGUUGAUCAUCCGGGGUUCUCCCCGGUGCACUCGAUUGCGCUCAGGCCAGCAUCGGUUUGGGUGGUUGGAUAAAGGCCUUGGGAAUGUAGCUUCUUUCGGGGAGUGUUAUAGCCCUCGGUGCAAUGCAGCCUAUCCGGACCGAGGACCGCGCUUCGGCUAGGAUGCUGGCGUAAUGGUUGUAAGCGACCCGUCUUGAAACACG